RNAcentral lists this long non-coding RNA (358 nucleotides) under Elaeis guineensis (African oil palm). RNAcentral's name for it is "long non-coding RNA (EGUI_LNC059585)". Lineage: Eukaryota; Viridiplantae; Streptophyta; Magnoliopsida; Arecales; Arecaceae. The record is from RNAcentral.
UCUUGGUGAGGCUCUCAUGAUUGUGCCUUCUUUAGGCAUGGACAAGGACGUGUCGGGUGUUGAGGCAGAGAUCGAUGACCAACCUAUUGAGGCUGUAGAGCCGAGUCUGUUGAAGACUAUGGGUGGCCCCUCCGAUGUAGAGCCACUUUUGGAUACAUUAGAAUUUUGGCUUGUCAGUGCUGUAGUCUGGGCCGAGGCUUCAGAAUUGCUUGCUGAGCUAGGGUCGGAUGCAUCUAGUCAUGAGGCAACUUCUUGGGAUGCUAUAGAGAUCGCUAGCCAAUAUGCCAUGGUUGAGUCCUCAUCCGUUGCCAUCAUCGAAGUCUCGGAUGUGGUGGACAAGACGUCUUGAAUUGCUAGU